This is a long non-coding RNA of Malurus melanocephalus (red-backed fairy wren), 440 nucleotides long. RefSeq lists it as uncharacterized. Lineage: Eukaryota; Metazoa; Chordata; Aves; Passeriformes; Maluridae. The record is from RefSeq and is a predicted model, not a curated record. The transcript is spliced from 3 exons.
CCUGCAAACAAGGCAGUCCCCCUCGCCUGCAACUCCCCCCGGGGCGGCACUUUAUUUGCAAAGCUGCGUAAUUGGUUUAAGCUUGUGGGGAAAGAAGGAGAGACAGAGGAACCAUAUGAGUCACCGUGCUGAGACAUAAUACUACAGGCACCCAAUAAAUUCGGCGAGAGGCCUGAAUGCGGAUCCACUGAUAUUAACCUCCGCUUGGCAAACAUCAGAAUUAAGUUACAUGUUCGAAACAAACAAAACUCUGGAAUCAGCAGAAGAGAACAACAUAUGAAAGUAUGUCUUGGAAGAAAUAAAAUACAUAAAAGCACUGGAUUAAACCCUUGCUUUCUCAAAUGGUCAAACUACACCCAUGGAAAUUGGGACUGGAAUAUCUUAGAAACAUUAGAAUUGCGUUCUUCCCGUACGCACCCUCCCUCUUUUCCUAAUGGAAG